UUGAAUUAGCCUUGAAAUAUUCCUGUUUUCAGCCCCUCAUUAUUUGUAAAAUUUACAUUUUCAACCCUUUUUAUUAAAUACUUCCCGGUUUGGUCCUUAAACUAUUUUUCUUGACAUUUUAACACCAAAAAUUAUUGAAAUUAAUAUUUUUCAGCAUAUUUUUCAUAGAAAACAGUUUAAGUCCCUGAAAAUGCAUUUUUCUCGGUUUUAACCCUUCUUUUCGCAAUUUUGACAAUUUUGGCCCAAAUUGGAAAAUUUUUGCAACUUUGGUCCUUUUUAAAUUUAAAAAGCAUUUUAAACCUUUGAAAAGGAUUUGGGACACUUAUAGUCCACUGUUUUACAGAAAAUUACAGUUUUGGCCCUCCAAAACAGAAAAAUUCGCAUAAUGGGCCUCAUUGGGCCGAAAAUGUCAUUUUUAGCCCAUUAAGCUUGAAAUUUAUGUUUUUAAUCCUCUAAUUGAGUAUAAUUCCAGAAAUAAUUUUAUGGAAACUGUUUUGGCACACUUCAUCCAUCAGAAUCUGUGAAAUGUCAAUUUGGGCCCUUAAUUUUGUAUUUUUCACAUUUUAGGCCCAAAAUUUGUGUUUUUAAUCCAAAGAAAAUUAUUACUAAACUACUUAGCCAUUUUUCUUGAAACACUUUGUAUGUAGAAAUAUAUUUGAAGCUAAGAUCAUAAAACAUAAGUUAUAUCUCGGUUUUGAGGGGUUUUAUGGCUAGAUCCAACAUUAAAACACAUAAAAGCAUACAUAUAAGCAUGGAAAUCAUACAAGGCAUACAAAACACAUAUAGAUCUACACUUUCACUUGUAUCCCCCCCCCACAAAACUCAUAAAAACAGAAAAUAGGGGGUAUGAAGCUCACCUUGGGUGUGGGGGCUCGGUUUUGCAAAGAAAAUGGAAGGAAAAUGAAGUGUUUUUGGCCUUAGCUCCCUUCCUUGGUAGAUCUCGAGUUUGAGAUGGUUCUAGGGUGCAAGAUCACGAUUUUUGCAUGGAUUAGGAAGAGAUUUUUGAUAAAUAAGGAAUACAAGUCAUAGAUCCAAGCAAAACCUUACCUUAGAUGAUGAUUUUUGUGGAAGAACUUCCUUGAAUGCUUCCUAAUUUUCGAGAUUUUGGAUGGAGAAGAAGGGAGUGUUCUUGAGAGAGAGUUGAGAGAUUUUUGUGGUGUGUGUGUGUGUGUGUAUGGCCGAGAGUGAGAGAGGAGAGAAGAAGAAGUGACCUUGAUAUGAUGCUUGCUUGGAAACAUGAGUUAUGUGCAUGGAAAAAUGAGAAUAAUGCAUGGAUAUCCUAUGGGUAAAGAUGAGGUGUCAUUUGAAAGUCAACUCUUUCUUGGAUUUGGGCCUUGGGCUGAGAAUGUGAAGGGAAAAAGGAAAAAUUUGGGCUUUUACCCCUAAGCCCACUAUUAGAGGUAGUUUGGGUGCUUAUUAGCCUUAUAAAAUAAAAUUGUGAUUUUUAUGCUUUAAUAAGCUAGGUUAGGUUAAAUUAUGGAUCAAAGCUUGUGAUUUAUUUCAUUCUAGGCCCAAUAUGACUCAAGAUAUUGAAAUAAAUAAGUGUGGGUCCAAUUAGAGCCCAAUUAGGGUUCUAAGCCCAUGAUAGUCUAAUUGGAAGCUUAUUGGUCCAUUUGAAUCCAAUAAGGAAGUUCUAGUCCAAAAUAGACCUAACAAGAACUUCUAGGGUUUUCCAAUUGUUUGAGGACUAUUUGUAGUAUUUGUAUGAUGUAUUUGAUUGAAGUUUUUGAUUCACAAUAACUUGAAUGUAUAGAUUACAUGACACAAAAUUUCCAGUUGUGACAUCAUACACUUAGAAUCUCUGAAAAUUUUGCUUUACCCCUAUUCUGUGUGAAUUUGGAGUUAAGGUCACUUAUUCGAAGGCCUAUCCUGUUUCGAUUACAUAUAACUGGUAUGCACUUUACAAAUAGUGAUGUAACUAAUGAAGAUUUUCUAAAUAAUUAUCUAGAUAGUUCGUGUAAUAAUUAUUUUCUUACACCAAUUCUCGCAUAGAUAACAUGGCUGGACUCCAUCCCCACGUCAACCGGUACCUUCCAAAUGAGGUCAUUGCUAGAUGGUUUAAAGAAGAACCAGAGAAUGAUCAUCCUAUCCAUGUGAAUGAUCACCAUGAUGAAGACCUUUUGGAUGAUGCUAACUCUGAACCCGAGGUUGAGAACCUACCCCAGGCAGCUCCCUUUCCAAAUCCUAACCCUCGUCUGGCUUUUCAAAGCCCGACGCCUCAGUGGGUGGAAUGCUUGGAAACAUGGAGCCAAGGACAAGAUCAGCCCAUGCCAUUUAAUGGUGACCGAAGCUUUUAUGACCUGAGCAAUGGGGGCUCAGCAGACAGAAUCUUGCCAAUCUUGGUCCGCAGAGUGGCCCGAAAUGAGAUUCAAGGCAAGACAGCCCUACAUCAGAUCACAGAAGUUGUCGCCGAUGCGAGAAUGCAUACCCUCCACACCAUUCGUCUAGAAGAUGCUCGUGAGAGAUCUGAGAGAGACCAUGAAACCCUGUUGCAAGCACUGGCUGAAUCACAAGCCGAAGUUAUAGAGCUCUGAGUACGUCUGAGGGUGUACGAAAGACACCUACUUGAUGUGGAGCGUCAAUUGGCUGAACUGAGAGUUCACCAGAGGGAUGACCGUCUCCAGUAGUAGAUACUUUACUUAUUUUUCCUUGUUAAAAGGAAUCGUUUUUCUGUCUAUGCCCGAUGUGGCAUUUUUGUUGAAACUAUUUUGUACUGUAAGUACUUUUGGUUAGGUCUUUAUGCUGUCAAGAACUAUCUUCUCUGGAUAUGAUGUAAGACCUUUUACAAGGUCAUUUUUCCCAAACUUUUACGUCAUGUAUAUCAAUGAUUUUGACAGUUGGCUAACUUCUGUGUCAUUCUUUAUUCGAGUACUCUCAUCAUACUUUCAUUGGAGUCUAUCUGAAACAUGAUUUAGUCAAGACAUUGGACUAUAGUAAUUUAGCUCCGGAGACAUUUCCAAGUCUCUUUUAGUGGUAGGAUCAUGUUAUUCACCAACCAAUGAUACCUCGGCUUGAACGACAAACAUAUUGAGACCAUUCUAUGAACUUACUUCCACUCAUUACCAGGACUGCAUCAUAGGGAUGUAGGUGAUCCCUUCAUAAACACACUUCCACUCAAUACUAGGACUGCAUCAUGGGGAUGUAGGUCAAACCUUCGCGAACAUACUUCCAAUCCGUACUAGGACUGCAUCAUAGGGAUGUAGGUCAAACUGUCGAGAACAUACUCUUAUUCUUUACUUGAACAAUCGAAGUACAUCUAGGGUUAACCAGAAUCACUCACAAAAGCCUUAUCUUUCGUGUUACAGAAUCAUGUCGUCAUCCGGAAACAAUCAGUCGAGCAAGGAAACCCCUGUCUUUCUUAUGGACGCCGCUACCUUCCAAACCACAGUUACAGCUGCCAUGAUGGCUGCUAUAACCGCUGUCCUUGCGCACUGUAGCGCUAUCAACACAAUCAAUGCUGAUAAUGGGGUUGAAGAUUUCGAUCGUAGUAUCCAUCCAGAAAGUCAUCAAAAGGUAACAGUCGCAGGCUCGCAAAGCUGAAAAGCAUAGAACAAGAAACGAAAGCACCAAGCCCAGAAAGAACGCAAGAAAUCCCAAAAGCUGGCCAUGCAACAACAACAAGUGGAAACCCCUGCCAUCCCCGUACCGAGUAGGCCAUACAAGGGAAAACUCCCGAAGUGUGAUAAGUGUAGUUUCCAUCAUCAUGGGCUUACCAUGAGAUGCAAUGUUGCAAUUGCCUAAAAAUAGGGCACCAUGCUUGUUGCUGUGGAGCACCGGCACGACCCAUCACUCAAUCCCCUGACAUCAUAGUCAACCAGGCUUACGAUGGUGGUGUUAAAACUAGACCCUAUGAAAGGAAAAUUUCAAUGUGGAUGAACAAGGAGAACCCUCGUGUCCACGUCACUUCCAUCACUUCCAUCACCAAUGUUGGUGCUGUCCAGUUAUGUCACAAUUGUGGUGAAAUUGGACACCUCAAGAAGAAUUGCCCGAUAGCGCAGAACUCUGGCGCAGACAGGAAGAUUCUUAGGAUCACAGCUGCAGGAGAGCCUACUCCAGACCCACGUUAAUGUAAUUUAGGCGUUUCAUUGUAACAGACUUAUAAACCAUCCAAAACUAGUGCAACCAGAGUCUUACCUUUUGCGAGAUCCCGUUGGUAGGGAUGGUCGUGCUGCGUAUACUUGUCUUUUGUAGUGUACCUUAUCCGCAACAAUAAUCUUGUAGUAAGUCUAAAUUACUAUAACGCUAUUGAUGGUUGCACGGUUGUGUUUGUCUGUAACGCCUUAUGUUCAAAUCCAGUGUCUUUAAGUUUCCUUGUGAUUCUGACAUUAUCAUACGACUCGAUUCAAUUUGAUCCGCACAAAACCAGCUUCAUACGUACAUCUCUUUCUUCGAAAUCGCCUUUCCAGCGAAGCCGUCAUAUCAAAACACCGAAGUACUCAUGCAUGGGGUACCUCAUAGUUCUUUUCCUUUCCGAAGAAAUCCCCGAAGUACCAUUCGUAAAGUACGUCAAGUUCAAUCCAAAGAUCCAUACGGUUGAUCUGUCGCUGAAGAAUGUAUACAUGGGGGUGAUAUAUAAUCAAGGUUAUAUAGGUUUAGAAUUGAUGAUUCCACUUUAACUUCUUUUCCGUAAUGGGAUGUGAGCUUAAAGAAGAAUCAGUUAUUCGACUAUCUUUUCAAUCUUAAUUAUAUACAACUCGUAUACACGAGAUUGUGAUCGUUGAGCCAUGUAUGAAUUCUAAUAUGAACUUCAGGAUGGAGAACUGCACAAUGCUACGAGUAAUCGCAUCGUCAUGUGAUCAAACUUAGAACCCAGUAUGACUUCUGUAAACAGAUCGCCCUACAGUCUAAACACCUACGGAGAUACAAAAACAGUCCAGACAACUUAGCGAACUACUCAACUAUAGAAUUGGAAGACCAGGCUUCUCACCUUGGAGAGCUCUGGUCUUAUCCUUCCAGGAGUAGACAGAUUGUAUCAUAUGUGCCUCGACGAUCAGGGAUUCCGUUAAGAUUUCCAUAAGAAAUCAUUAUCUCUGCCUCGCAUAGAUGAGUUGGUUGAGCAAACACAAGGAAAGAAUUACUUUCAGAAAUGGACCUGUGAUCCGAAUAUCACUAGUUCAAGUGUUAGGGAAAGAUGUCCUGAAGACUACCCUCCGAACUCGAUUCAGACACUUCGAGUCCGUAGUGAUACCCCUCGGAUAGGACCAAUACGCCUAUAAUAUUCAUGAGCUUAAUGAGUAGGGUACGCCAUUCUUACUUAGAUCAGCUCGUCAUUCUCCUUGUAAUGACUUACUUAUCUACCCUUGUAGUAAGAAGGAACCCAUGGAAACAUUACCCUCGGAGAUACUUUUCGCAAAGUUCUCUGAACACGAGUUUUGGAAUUAAAGAGUCAAAAUUUCCUACGACACACUAUUAGUGAUGUGGAAAUUCUUGAGUACUCUGUCAAUUUAUCCAAAACCGUUGGGAAUUUGUCGGCACCAGAGACGCCAAACGAAAUUCGCCAAAUUCUAGGUCUUGCAGACCUAAUAUCGUAGUUCAUUCAGAACUCCUCGCAAAUUACAGAAACCCUUACGACUUUGACCAGCAGGGGGUGGCCCUUUACUGGGAAGUUAAGCAAGAGAAAGAACCUUUGGAAUUCCAAGUGAGAGACCAAAAUUCUUUAGGAAGUCUCUCUCUGGGAAUGGCUUAAUACGCUUCGCAUCGCGUGGAAAGCUAAAUCCAAGAUAGUCAGGACCUCCGAGAUUCUUACUAGAAUCAGUCCUGUAUCUCACAAACUAGACCUACUCCGCGAACUCAGUAAAGUACAUUUUACCCUUCACGUCUCGAUCUUGAAACCAUAGCUUUCCGUUAGGACUGUCGUAAGUCCACUCGACGAGAUCGAGGUCAACAAGAUCUUCGCCUUCGUGGAAAAACCGUAGUGACCCUCGACUGAGAGGUUAAGCGGACGAAGAAACGUUGCCUCCCUUUAGUGAAUGUUCGUUGCGAUACCAACCGAGGACCCGAAUUCACUUAUGAGCGCGAGAACCUAUCGAUUUUGAAGUUUUCCCAUCUCAUGACUAGAUCAUUCAUACCUACUUACUUGCCUAAAUUCUAAUUUCGGGACGAAAUUCCCUCUGAGAGGGGGAUGAUGUGACAACCCGAAAUUUUCCAUCUAGUACGGCCUAACACUUCUUUGAAAGUCAAACUCAUUACUGUUAUCUUUUAGCACAAUUAGAGGUUUAUUUGAGAAUUCUGAGCCUUGUACACUUGAGGAAUAAGUGUCGGGGUUAAUCGGUUGAAGUUCUAGCACAAAGAAAUGGCCAUAAGCACAUUAACCUUGAGUUCACAGCCACCACAUGGGAGUUUAUGGCCAUAAACUCCAGGUGGGCCGUAAACUCACCUUAUAUGGUGAUGUUAAAGAUCAUUUGUUCAUUUCUUUCAUUUCCUUGGCCCAAAUCCUCUCAAGUAUCAUCCGGAUCUCCAAAACUCGUAAUUAUCUUGCCAUAACUAGUUGAUAUCAUAGAUGGUCUAGUGAACUUACAUGGUUUCGUUUGUUAAAUCAUUCCGUUUUGUAGAUUUUCAAGUUACACCAAGAACACACACUAGUGUUCUUGGCCAGAAACGACCAUUCAAGCUUCUAGAUCAUAAGUGCUCUUGUUCUAACUCGUUGUACACUAGGUUUAACAUGUUUAUAGCCUAGAAAUCAUAAGGAAACACAAGAGUAAAGGAGUUUAAGGCCAAGACAUGUUCUUUGGCCGUAAACCCCUAUUAGUGGGGCAAUUUGCACUGUAACUCCUUCCUUAUGCCUAGAACCCAACUUAGAUUAUAUCCUAGAAGUGUUAAGGACCUUAAGCAUCCAAGAAACCAUGUUCCCAUAGAGUUUACGACUGUAAACUCAUAAGGAUUGGUCCUUAGGGCGUAAACUCGAUAAAGGGGUGAUAUUGUGCCCCUAAUGCUCCCACAUGGCUAGAACUUAACAUAGAAUCAAUACCCAAUGAGAUAGGAACCUAAAAACGUCAAAUGGUACUUUCUACCAUGAGUUUACAGCCGUAAACUCAUGGGGAAGUGGUACUUGGGCCGCAAACUCAAGUUAAGGUCAUUCUUGGACCUUAAACCCACCUAUCCUCUAGUUUAAGCAUUGGAACACUUAACCACUUAAACCCUUAGAGUUUUAUGCCACUUUUGGUGACCCAAUGAGAGUUUACGGCCAAGAGUUUACUCCCCUGGGCCGUAAACUCCAACAAACAUGGUCAGUAGACCAUAAACUCUCGUAUGAGGCUUCGCACUCGUUUGUUGCAACCCGAUAGCAUCCUAGCACUUGACCAAAGUGUUUUCCUCGCAAUAGGACGUUUUUACAUGUUUAAUUAGUGUUUUAAUCAAUAAAUGUUUAUAUACGUAUGUGUUCAUAUGUUAUUAGGAUCAUAGACUGUGUUCAAGACUUCACUUGACACCUUGCAAUCCUACAUCUUUAGUUCAUCCGUACCACUCACUAUAGGUGAGUUCAUACCUCUUAAUCAAUCUUUUAAAUGUUUUUAAAUGUUUUACGGGGGGNAAUGUUUUAUGGGGGGGGGAUACAAGUAGAAUCAUGCUAGUUAUUAUAUCAAUCACAUGUGAUUAAUAAGCAGCAUUCAAAUGAUUUACUACUCAUUCGCUGUUUUACCAAACAGUUUUCUUCACAUGAUUUUCAUAAACGUUUUAUAUGUUUAAAACUCCUUAUUAAACUGUUCAUUUUACACUGUAUGUUUCAUUUCAAACUCAUUUACAAUUGUGUUUCAAACAAAUGUUUCUUUAUACUUAAACUGUUUAUCAAACUGUUUUGCUUCAAACUGUUUUACAAAUUCUUAUACUUAUCAAAUACAUUUACUUAAGCUCUGUUAUACUUAUUAUCAAUUGCAUGUCUAUAUAUGUAUAGUUAUAUAAGCAAUGUUUAAAAGGCUUAGGAAGGCCUGCCCGCCUUAUUUCCUUUUCGCCGUUGAGAUGUGGUCUGGUGGGGUAUCGGGUAUCCGUCUGAAGGUUGUUUAAAUAUUAGUUAUAUAUCAUGUGUAAAUAUAUAGUCAUAAAGGUUCUUCCAGUUCAUUCAAUACCCUUGGGUAGCAAGGGUAUACUUCCAUGAUCAUACGUACCAGUUACAUCAGUAGUAAGUUACCAUUCGCUGUUUUACCAAACAGUUUUCUUCACAUGAUUUUCAUAAACGUUUUAUAUGUUUAAAACUCAUUAUUAAACUGUUCAUUUUACAUUGUAUGUUUCAUUUCAAACUCAUUUACAAUUGUGUUUCAAACAAAUGUUUCUUUAUACUUAAACUGUUUAUCAAACUGUUUUGCUUCAAACUGUUUUACAAAUUCUUAUACUUAUCGAAUACAUUUACUUAAGCUCUGUUAUACUUAUUAUCAAUUGCAUGUCUAUAUAUGUAUAGUUAUAUAAGCAAUGUUUAAAAGGCUUAGGAAGGCCUGCCCGCCUUAUUUCCUUUUCGCCGUUGAUAUGUGGUCUGGUGGGGUAUCGGGUAUUCGUCCGAAGGUUGUUUAAAUAUUAGUUAUAUAUCAUGUGCAAAUAUAUAGUCAUAAAGGUUCUUCCAGUUCAUUCAAUACCCUUGGGUAGCAAGGGUAUACUUCCAUGAUCAUACGUACCAGUUACAUCACUAGUAAGUUACCAUAGGGGUAGCAUAGGAGAUACUAAUACUAUUACUAGAACAAUGAAACAUUCAAUGAGUCAGUUCAUUCAUGAGUCAGUACAUUACUAUGCAUGCUAGAUAGAGAGGGAACAUACAUUACAGCUAGCACAUGCAUAACUUUCAGUAUAUACAGGCUAAACAGAGAAAUAGUACACUUUCAGUUAGAACAUUCAUUACAUAUACAUUCAUGCAGUUAUGUGAACCAUUGAGCGAGUCAUGGCACAUCCUACCAUGACCGCUCUUGUAUCCCGAAUCUCCUUAAUUGGGGAGCGUAUGAGUUUGUGUAUAGAUCUAUACUGGAUUGACUAUCCCAAACCUUGAUGCUCGCUACAGUGGGACUUGCAAGUCUACGGGUGCCAAACGUCAUUUGUUAUGGCGUCUUACAUCGUCGUUUUACUAGAGUCGGUAGCAGGAUACAUGUUGAACACAUGUUACUUUAAAUUACAAUAGAUUUCAGGUAGUUAGUACGGUGGUAGUUCGAUACUACACCAUAGUACUAUUUCAUUUUCCCAUUACAUUCACUUCGUGAACAUUCACACGAUGCACGGUAAUGUAGAAGCUAUAUUUUUGGUUAAUGAUAGUUAGAUUUGGGAAAAUACACACUCUUAGAGGAGACACACAUAGAUACUAGAUGCCUUGGUAGAAGGCUACUCUCAGUAGGAAGCAUAGGGCUUUCUAGGAUGUUCAAAACGUUUUCAUACUUACAUUUCAUAUACAUACAAAUACUUACAUUUCAUAUACAUACAAAUACUUACAGUUCAUAUACACACAAAUACUCACAUACAACUUAAGACACUAAAAUACUUAUGAUCUCACCAGCUUUAAAUCUGAUACUCUCUUUCAAAAUAACUUGUAUCCUCAGGUCAACAGUAGACAAGUACAGAUGCAAGGUUUAGAGAAGAUGAAGCUCGUUCAAGACUCAUCUUUCAUUUUGUUUUAUACUUUAGUGUCUAUUAUAAUUUGACAGAACACACUUGUAUUAAAAUUAUAUUAUUAAUGCAAUGGAUGAUGUUGUUGCUUAUUUACUACUUUGCAUUGUUUUGUUACUGUAUAUGACGUCCUCCGCCCCAGAACGUUUCCGCCAUUCAUGGUUUUGGGGUGUUUUUUGGGUGUUGCUUGUUUACUACCUUGGCAGCCUGACCUCCUUGAUCCUUAUUGUCUUAAGAAGUUUUUCUACUUCUUCUUGGAGGAUAUAAUGUUUUUUGGGUGCAAACUUCCUUCUGUCUUGAUGUAUGGUUCUGAAAGAACAAUCAAUGUUAAGUUUGUGAGUUAUAAUAUUUUUGUCUAUAGCUAUCAUGUGUUCAUGCUUCAUUGCAAAGGUUCUCCUUCUUUCUUUGAGGAACUUUAUAAUAACUUCUUCUAUGCUUUCUGGCAUUGAGGAUCCAAUGAUUAUUUUCGCAUCGGGAUCCUUAAGGUCAAGGGGCACUUCUUUUGUAUCUUGUUUUUCGGAUUCUAGUACAUCUCAUGCCCUUUGCUUUAAAUUCUAUGCUUAUUGGGGGAGUAGAAGUCUUCAUUGACGUAUUAUUGCACUCUUUAGAUUCUUCUUGGUCACUUGUGAUCUUCAAUGUCCCCCAUGGGGUGGGAAACUUUACACAUUGAUUGUAUGUUGAUGAGACCGCAUUUAUGUUGUGGAUCCAUGACCUUCCUAAUAUAACAUUAUAGGCGGGUAGUUUAUCAUUUACACAAAAUUGUGGCAUAGAGCUUACCCCCUCCAUGUAGAUAGGCAACUUCAUUUUGUUGAUCAUAUGCUUUUUUUUUCGCCACUGAAUCCUAUUAGCACUAAGGAUCUUUUGACUAAUUCAGACACGAGGAUGUUCAUUCUUUUUAAAUCAUCUUGGAGUAUAGUGUUGAUCGAGGAUCCUCGAUUGACCAUGAUACUUCUAAGAAAAUGGUUUGUAAUGUAAAGUGUGAUGACCAGUCCAUCUUGAUGAGGAUCCCAGAUGUCUACACUAUUUGUUUCGGUGAAGGUGAUCUCCUUCUCAUUUGUGAUUUAUGUAUUCUUUUGAUUUCUUUCUGCAGAAUAAGAGGUACUACAUAUGUCAAAUCCUCCCGAGAUAAUAUUGAUUACCUUGGCGUCUGUAGGAGGAGAUCCUGGUUUCUCUAGGAUUUUAUGAGGAUCCAGAUCAUUUUCUUUGGAUCAUUCUUUUCUCCAUCCCAGGAUCUCUUUGAGAUAUCCCUUGCUGAUUAGGUAACUGAUCUCCUUCCUGAGGGCUAUGAGAUCUUUAGUAACAUGACCAAUUUCCUUGUGCUAUGCACACUAUUUUGACUUAUCUUUCCCGGUGGUGGACUUUUUUCCCUUUUUUGGCCAUCCUGCUUUGUCGCCAAGAUCCUGCAUAGCAAAUAUUAAACCUGAAACAUCCACAGGAAAUAAUUAAUCAAUGAUCUUAGAAAAUUCUUCUUCCUCCCUUUCAUCUUCAACGGAAUAUACCCUAUGAUGAUGUGGUUUGGAAUAAGGUUCAUACUUUUAGGAUCUUUGGGUCGAGGAUUCGGCCUUCCAAUUGGGGUUAUCAUAGGAGUGCGGUAGGUUUCUGCUUUUUUGAUUUCCUUGUCUUCUUAGAUCCUUUUGAAUCUUAGUUCCUUGUUUCUCACUUCGUCCAUUCUUUCGCAUGGAGUCAUUACAUGGUCUUCAUAGAAAGGAGAGUCCUUUUUCAAGCCCAUUUUGAAUGUUUCUACGGAAGUUUCCAGAUCGAUGUUGUGGAUACCCAAGGCUUCCUUAUAAAAACUGUUCACAACAUCCAUAAGGGAUUCCUUAGGAUCCCGAACUACCCGGUAAAGAUCACAAGUGAUCUUCUCGAACGUUCUUUUACAAGAAAAUUGGUUGUUAACAGUAUUAACUAAGUGAGCAAGCAAUGUAAUAGAGUAAGAAGGAAUGUUAAGCAGCGAAUUUAAGUAUGAUCUCGUGAGAUUUGAAUCGAAACUGCUUCAUAGGCAAGCAUUUUUCAAAUGUGUGGGCUGGGGAUGAUCUCUAUUCUUCCCUAUAUGGUAACACAUGUUCUUCAGGAUCCACAGUCCUGUCGUAAGGCUUCAUGCUCGGAGUUUGGAAGCACUUCAGGACUUCUGUAUAACCAAUCACAAGAGAAAAUAUUGAGAUCAUGUUGCUUGUUGGGGAAACAUCUUGUAUAGGUUGGACUACUAUGGGUACACUUGAGAUCACCUGUCUUAACUGUUGGAGUUCCUUGGCUAUGACCGGUCUCAUUCCUACGUCAAGGUCCAUAAAGUUAGUAUUAAAAGUAUUAUUAUUCACGACGAUACCAUAAUCCUUGUUAUUGGAAAUGAUGAAGGUUUUAUCGGGAUCCUAGACUACUGGAGCUCGCUCAUUUGGAGUUGAAGCCCAAGUAGGAGUUAGGGUUGGUGUUGAGAAUCUUAUCUCCGAGUGGUUUCCGUGGAUCCUGUAUUUUCAAUGUUCAUGAUCCUCGGCUGCAAUAUCGAGGGUGCCGCCUCUUGGGGCUUGUGGAUCUCCGUCCUCCUUUUCUCUAUUUCCUUGAGUACUUUCCUGUUGUCCUCUUUAUGUUGAGUAACCUGGUGUUCCAGUCUCUUCAUGAUAGCAAAGAGCUCAUUAUUGGAAAUCACUACACGAGAAUGCUGAAAUCCUUGGGAAGGGACUGGAGAGGUGUUUUCCUUCAGUGCCUCUAAAGUCUUCUUGGGAGCUCCGCUUUGAGCCGGUGGAAGGUUUAUAGAGGAAAUGGAAUGAAUGGAGGAAGAGGAUAACAUUGGUAGGGUAGACAUGAUUCACGAAUGAUGAUGAACACUACGAACCCACGAUGGGUGCCUAAUUGUUUUGGUCAAAAUUUUAUCAAAUAAUAUUCAACAAAAUUGUAUGAGAGGUUGUGGUCUUGUGGGUGAAGUGAUUAAUGAAACUAGAACAAUGUUGCACAAGUGGUUUAAAAGGGAAGCCUUAGUCCUUUAUAGGAUCUCCGACAUAAAAACUUGGGCGUUGAUAAUGAUCACCUUCCUUGUUGCUUUUAUUGAUUUGUGUCACACCCCCAAACCAAGGAUGGCGGAAACGUCUCGGGGUGGAGGACUUCAUGUAUAGUAUCACAACAACAUGUAUAAUAGUGCUCAAAGUAAAUACAACCAUCAUUAAUAUAAUUGAAAAAGUUACACCAAUGUAUAUAUUUACAUAUUUCAAAUCAGUUUCAUUAUGAUGACAAAAUGAACUGUUGGACGAUUUAUCGUCCCAUCCUCAAAACGCUGUUGAUUUCCUGUUUCACUGAAUUCAUGAGAAUACAAGUAGUUUUGAAAAAGUGUCAACACAAAGGUUGGUGUGACAACCCGAAAUUUCCAUUCUGAACAUACCAUAUCAAGCCAAUAGAUGUAGAUCAGUUACAGUGAAAAUUCAGACUCCGAGUGUAAGUUAGGCAGUUUUCAGGAUUUACACUUAAGAAGAUAUUAGGAGAGUGGUUGCACUAGGGUUUUGUGCAACACUGUUAUUCCAAGACUCUAGGACAUUAGAGUUCAUUCCAGGAAUAAAAAUAUUUUCUGCCAAAAAUAUUUCAGGACUAUAAAUAGAAUUCUGAACCAAAUUGGUUCAUUUGUUGAAUUCCAAUUAGAGAAAAGCCAAAUUUCCUCUCAUGGAUCUUCAGGUUUUUAUCCCAGAUUGUGAGUAUACUUCUCUAGUUGUUUUAUACUACUUGUUUUAAGCUUAUUAACAUAGUUUGUAUGUCAAAAACAUGAGAUCCGGGAGUUUACCCCCUAAGAACGUUCUUGGGGAGUAAACUCCAAAAUCAAGCCUAAAGGCCAUUUAGUCCCAUUUCCUUGUUAGGUAACUAGCUUAGGAUGAUAUGUAUGAACAUUUGAGACUAGAAAUCAAUCAAGAACACUUAGCCUUAGGAGUUUACGGCCCAAGAGAUUCUUGGACCGUAAACACCAAUUUCAAGGGUUUAAAUGUGCCCUACUUCCCCCAAAGGCUAGGCUUCAUUAUAGACAUGUAUACUAAUGUGUUUAGAACCUAGAAAACAUAAGAAAAGCACAAGUAUUGAAGAGUUUACGGCCAAGAGUGGUUCCUGGGCCGUAAACUCCUAUAAAGGGGUCAAAGGACACCCUAAACUCUUCCUUGAGCCAAGAAACAAUUUGGGCAUGUACCUAAAUGUAUUAUGGACUAGCUAAAACACUUAGAACCCCAAAAGUGAGGGAUUUUACGGCCCAAAAGGUUCUAUGGCCGUAAACUCCAAGAAAUGGUACCAAAUGGUGCCAUAAACUCUUCCAAAGCCAAGUACAAAAGCCUAGAAUUGUUCCUAGUUAUUAUAGAGACUUGAAAGCCUCAUAAUCACCCUCCCAAGGGAGUUUACGACCAUAAACUCCAAGGGAAAAGGGUCUUUGGGCCGUAAACUCCCCUUAGGAGUCAAUAUGGUGCCUUAAACUCUUGUCUAGCCUUGAAGCAAUUCCCCUCUAAGGUUGUAGUACUUCUAAACUCCAUUUCAUGGCUUGUUUGAGAGUUUACGGCCAGGAGCUUACUCCCCUGGGCCGUAAACUCNNNNNNNNNNNNNNNNNNNNNNNNNNNNNNNNNNNNNNNNNNNNNNNNNNNNNNNNNNNNNNNNNNNNNNNNNNNNNNNNNNNNNNNNNNNNNNNNNNNNNNNNNNNNNNNNNNNNNNNNNNNNNNNNNNNNNNNNNNNNNNNNNNNNNNNNNNNNNNNNNNNNNNNNNNNNNNNNNNNNNNNNNNNNNNNNNNNNNNNNNNNNNNNNNNNNNNNNNNNNNNNNNNNNNNNNNNNNNNNNNNNNNNNNNNNNNNNNNNNNNNNNNNNNNNNNNNNNNNNNNNNNNNNNNNNNNNNNNNNNNNNNNNNNNNNNNNNNNNNNNNNNNNNNNNNNNNNNNNNNNNNNNNNNNNNNNNNNNNNNNNNNNNNNNNNNNNNNNNNNNNNNNNNNNNNNNNNNNNNNNNNNNNNNNNNNNNNNNNNNNNNNNNNNNNNNNNNNNNNNNNNNNNNNNNNNNNNNNNNNNNNNNNNNNNNNNNNNNNNNNNNNNNNNNNNNNNNNNNNNNNNNNNNNNNNCAUCAAUCACAUGUGAUUAAUAUACAACAUUCAAAAGAUUUGGCUACUCAUUAGCCGUUUUACCAAACAGUUUCCUUCAAAUGAUUUUUAUAAACAUUUUAUAUGUUUUAAACUCCUUAUUACACUGUACAUCUUACUCUGUACAUUACCUUUCAAACUUAUUUACAACUGUGUUUCAAACAAAUGUUUCCUUAUACUUAAACUGUUUUAUCAAACUUAUGCCUUCAAAUUGUUUUAUAGAUUGACAUCAAGUCGAUCUUUUCUUAAAAUAAUAAUUAUGUUCAAAUGUCUUACAAAACUUAUUUAUGCUUUUAUAUUAUAAAUUGCAUGCCUCUAUAUGUAUAGUUAUAUAAGAAAUGUUUAAAAGACUUAGGAAGGCUAUCCACCCUAUUUCCUUUUCGCGCCUUGAGAUGUGGUCUGGUGGGAUAUCGGGUAUUCGUCCGAAAGUCGUUUAAAUAUUAGUUAUAUAUCAUGUGUACAUAUAUAGUCAUAAAAGGUCCUUCCAGUUCAACAUAUGCCCUUGGGUAGCAAGGGUAUACAUCCAUGUCCAUACUUACCAGAUAGAUUACUAGUAAACUACCAUAUGGGUAGUUUAGGAAGAUACUAGAACAAUUACUAGAACAUGAUAUCAUACAAAUGAGUCGGUUCAUUCAUGAGUCAAUACCUAUUAGAACAUUACAGUACAAUUACUAUACUUGCUAGAUAGAGAAAACACACAUUACAACUAGCACACGUAGAACAUUACAGUACAAUUACUAUACUUGCUAGAUAGAGAGAACACACAUUACAGCUAGCACAUGUAGAACAUUACAGUACAAUUACUAUACUUGCUAGAUAGAGAGAACACACAUUACAGCUAGCACACGUAGAACAUUACAGUACAAUUACUAUACUUGCUAGAUAGAGAGAACACACAUUACAGCUAGCACACGUAGACCAUUACAGUACAAUUACUAUACUUGCUAGAUAGAGAGAACACACAUUACAACUAGCACACGUAGAACAUUUCAGUACUCUACUAUACUAUUACAUGAUCACACUUAUAGGAGUAAUUUUACAUAGAUAUAUCAGGAGGAGUCCUAUUACAUUUUAUAUGUAUCGACUCUGUUAUCAAAUCCUCAUUCUUACCUUUACCUUAUGAUACAAUCACAUAUUUGACGAGAUAGAAUGGAUUUAAUAUCCUAGUACCAAAGGAUACGAUUGUGGGAUUGACCAUUCCUAGAAUCUCUGUUAGCUACAGAGGUAAAAGCACAUCCACGGAUGUCAACGGUUGGUACCAUUACAGGUAUACUUUAAGGGAUUCACUAUUCCUAUACCCAGCUAUUAGCAACAGAGGUAAGAGCACGUCUGCGGAUGUCUUAAAGUUAACAAUGUUAGUUACCCUAGUACCAAAGGGUAAUAUUCAGGUUAGUUGUAUUAUUACCUUUAUUUUGUGACUCAUUCACAUAACUAAUGAGGUGAAUUAUAUUUAAGUAUCCUAGNGAUACAAUUUCUUAUAAUGAUAAUAAUAGUAACACAGUUAGGUCUUGGUAGAAGACUACAUUAAGAACAUUUAGGUCUUGGUAGAAGACUACAUUCAGAACAAUUAGGUCUUGGUAGAAGACACCUUCAUAUACUAAUAGGAAUCAUAGGGAUUCUAGGGUUUUUCAAACACUUACAGUUCAUAUACACUUUCAAUACUUACAAUACAUAGACUUACAAAUUCUUGCAUACAAAUUAAGACACUAAUUACUUAUGAUCUCACCAGCUUCAAAGCUGAUACUCGCUUUCAAAAUUACUUGUAUCCUCAGGUCAUCAUAGACAGGUACCGAUCCAACUUUUCUGAUGAAAGCUGUUAGAAAAGUUUAGUUAUGUUCUUGGUGUUUUAACUUGUAUUCCCCCCCUAAACACUUGAGAAAACAUGAAAAGGUAGGGGUAUGAACUCACCUUGAGUGAUUUCAGUAGAUGAGUGUUGAAGAAGAGAAGUGUUCAACUCAAGAACACUUGAAGAUUCGAAGAUCUAUCAAGAAUGUAAUGAUGUUUGUGUAAGGAAUCAUUGAUUUCAUGGUGAAAGAAUGAGAAAAUGAGAGAAGUGUAAGGAGAGAGGAGGGUUUUCUUACCCUUGACCAAGUGUGUGGCUGAAAAAUGGUGGGAAAAGUACCAUGAAAUGAGUAGGUAUGGGCUGAUGGUGAAUAGUGACAUGGAGUGGGUAUGGGAGUGGUUGCUUGUGUCAUAGAAUAAAGGGAAGUCAACACUCCACCUCUUGUACUUCACCCACUCUUCUUGGAAAAGGUUUUAUCCUUAAAAACGCGAUUAAUUAAUAAUUAUGGGGUCUUAUAUGUUAACAUAAAGUUUUGGGUGAAAAUCCCGUGUUAAAACAUUUAAAAACGAGCCUAAAACGCAAAACUAGUCGAAAACCGGAAAGAAAUCGACUUCCAGCGAGGCCUCUCGGUCCUAGGCCGAGGUUCGGUCCUCCUGAUGCUAGGCGCGAAGCGAAGGAAGCGAAAGCAGCAAGAAGCGAAGGCAUGCUCGGUCCGAAGGAGUCAGAAGCGAAUUAGACCGAAGUGAACAGUAACUUCGGGUUCGGGUGUGUGCGAGGUUCGGUCCUGGGAGGACCCUUCGGGUUCGGUUCUUUGAGCGAGGUUCGGGUCCGAGAGCACCCCUUCGGGUUCGGUCGUCUUGGUUUCGGUCCAUAAGAGGUCUUUCGGGUCCUAAGAGGCUUCGGCCCUAUUAAGAGGGUUUCGGGUCCUUAAGCCGUUUUCGUCCGUUCUUGCCCCGUUUUAAGCCGUUUUUGACCUGUUUAAGGGUCGGAAUGACCCGAAUGACUUCAGAAAGUUGCGGGAACUUUUGAGAGAGAUUUGGGAGAGAUUUCACAUUCUUGGAGAGAUUUCUCAUACAAAGAGAGAUUUGGGAGAGAUUUCACAUUCUUAGAGAGAUUUCUCAUACAAAGAGAGAUUUGGGAGAGAUUUCACAUACUUGGAGAGAUUUCUCAUACAAAGAGAGAUUUGGGAGAGAUUUCACAUUCUUAGAGAGAUUUCUCAUACAAAGAGAGAUUUGGGAGAGAUUUCACAUACUUGGAGAGAUUUGGGAGAUAUUUGACAUUCUUGGAGAGAUUUCUCAUACAAAGAGAUAUUUGGGAGAAAUUUCACAUACUUGGAGAGAUUUCAAAAUAGAGAGAGAUAGAGUGAAAACGAUUGAGAGAGGUUUCAUUUGUGACCUUUUUGAGUGUCCGGCUUUGCAAUGUAAAGUCCGUAAACUCUGUUAAGCCUUGUUUAAGGAUCUUACACACUCCCGAUGAGUAUGCAACUUUAUUUUAUCGGUUUGGCUCGCCACGUACCACAGUUUUAGGUUAAGGAGAUCUAGAUGUACGCACUUUUCGAUUUAUGAUCUCUCAUUAGAAUAACGGGUUGUUUAGAAAUUACAUAAUGUAAACUCUAGUACCCAUGGGCAAAUCGAGUCGAACGGUUUGACUUGUUGACUUCAGUUGACUUUGACUUGACCGGAAAUUGACGGUUGUCACAUCAUUCCCCCGUUAGAGGGAAUUUC
RNAcentral lists this long non-coding RNA (18153 nucleotides) under Lactuca sativa (garden lettuce). RNAcentral describes it as "long non-coding RNA (LSAT_LNC006601)". The record is from RNAcentral. Lineage: Eukaryota; Viridiplantae; Streptophyta; Magnoliopsida; Asterales; Asteraceae.